GAGAGAGAGAGAGAAGAGAAGAAGAUGGAAAGGGUGAGAAGCAGGAGAGGGAAAACCCUAAGGAGACACUGGCCCAGAAACCUUUUUAACUUUCUGUAAAAAUCUUCAAGGCCCCAAACUAGGCCAAGAUUCUGACUGACAUUUCUGAGCUCACCAGCUGCUGUUUCCUUGAGAGAAUUCUGACAGGAAGGCAUGGAAACGCAAGCCAACACUGCCAGCUCUGGGAAAAAAUAAUAAUACUAACACCCCAUGCUCUAAACACCUCAGUGGGACUGACGCCUCCCACGGAAGAAGGCACACGGAGGAGGAGGGACCUGCCAGCGACUUUCCCCCAGGCUUGGACCGGGAAUGCUUGGGAUAUACCAAGGGAUUCUCACACCAGAGGCUGCCUGCAGUCACUCCCAGUGGAGCUGCCUCCUGCUCUGGCUGGUCAAACGGAACCAAGUCCGUCUUCCUGAGAGGUUUGGUCCCCUUCAACCAGCUACAGCAGGGCUGGCCAUGCCCAACCCUUGGAGAAACAGAAGAGAUCCGCCUGUGGCUGAAAUGACAUACUAACACUUCCCUUAAGAAAAUGACUGAUAUAAUCGUAUACUCUUAUGCUCCCAGGAAGGGAGAAAAGAAGAGCCCUGGGUUCAAUAGUGAGCAAGGGUAUCACAUUCAACACACAGAGCUCCGUGGCUUUACACCCACAACUAGACCCACUCACAUGCUCCUGACACACACAGGCAGUAAAGAUUUUGAGGAUGGAAUUUCUGCUAGCUCUGGGCCAGCCAGGGUAAGAGCAUGAGACCUCAAAGACAGGACUUCUGCCCACAAGGGGCUAACAGUCUAAGUAAAGAAAUUGGAUGUCUGAAUACGGCAUAAUUCAAUGGAACUGCAAGUCAGAGCAUGGCUACUUCUUACACAGCACAUCAAAUAUGCCUGGCACAUGGUGUACUGUCAAGUUUUAUUGAUCCUUUCAGCCCAAGAUACCUAUUCACUAAGCAAUAUACAUGGCUCAGUUUCCUGACCUAUACAAUGGUGAUAAUAAUCAUAGCACCUACCACAUAGGAUUUUGUGUGGAAUGAAAAGAGAAUACAUGUAAAGGAGUUAAAAAGCUCUCACUAAUUGCUACCUACUAUGAAGGGGGAAUCCUGACCUGGUCUUCCAAUUUCUCUUUCAAAAUUUGCAUCUUUGACAGUGGAUCUAGGAGUAUGCCCCAAACUUAGCUAGUGCUCAGUAACACUUGUUUAAUUCCAGAGGCAAAUGUGUUACAUGCUGGAAUCUCACAUAAAUGUGCUCUCAUGAUGCCUAGAGCCCACCAAGUCUCCACACAGAGGGUGUGGUGCUCAUUAGCACAUGCCUUCAAGUCAGGGAGACCUGGCAUGCCCUUCUCAUUUAUUAGCUCCAAGACUCAGUCUACAUUGUAUAAACUUCAGUUUCCUCAUCUGUAAAAUGAGAACAAUGAUACUUAAAAUUGUUUUAAGAACGUAAAAAGAUAAUGCUUAUAAGUAGCUAAAUAUAAGCCCUCAAGAAAUGAUAGCUGUUGCUGUUUUGCUUUUGUACAUGCCAAUAGCUCAAUGACACAGUUGUGUACCCAAAACCUCAUUACAGGGUAUUUUUAUACUCUAACUAUUAAUCCUACUAUAAUGCAUCAUGCAUUCAUCCUUGUAUGUGUUACUGGUAUGUAAUAAGUUUUACUAAAAAUAUGCUUCAUACAUGAGACUGCUAGUAUUAUCUUAAAGGAAUAUCCUGCCAAGAAAGCUUUCAUUUGUGAGCACUGCUGAAAUGCUAGUCUGUAAUCAUGUGUCCUCCUGAGUAUGCGAAGGCCACAGAGUGUAAUCCAAAGGUGUGGAGUUAAGACAUGGGCCCUGGAGCCAGACUGCCUGGGAUCAAAUCCCAGCCCCGCAGGUCCCCACCAGCUGUGCCAUUUGGGCAAGUUGCUUGACCUCUUUGGGUCUGAGUUUCCUCAUAUGUAGAAUGAAGAUGUUAAUAAUAGUAUCUACCUCAUAGGAUUUUCAUGAGAAUGAAAUGAAAAUAUAUGUAAAGGUCUAAAAUGAGGGCUGGGUGCAUAAUACGUUUGUGAGACUUUUUAUCUUUGAAAAUGUACCUGAGAUGUUUUAAAAACUAAAUUGGUGUUCAAUAAAACCUUAUUUAAUAAAUGAUCACCUUCUCUAUAUUGUUAUUCUAAACACAAA
Molecule: long non-coding RNA, 2177 nt
Organism: Miniopterus natalensis
Lineage: Eukaryota; Metazoa; Chordata; Mammalia; Chiroptera; Miniopteridae
Source: RefSeq, a predicted model, not a curated record